AUCUCAGUUCGGAUUGAAGUCUGAAAUUCGACUUCACGAAGCUGGAAUUGCUAGUAAUGGCAGGUCAGCAUACUGCCGUGAAUACGUUCCCGGGCCUUGUACACACCGCCCGUCACACCAUGAGAGUUGGGAAUACCCGAAGCCUGUGAGCUUAACUUUUAAGAGGCAGCAGUCGAAGGUAGAAUCAAUGAUUGGGGUGAAGUCGUAACAAGGUACC
Molecule: ribosomal RNA, 217 nt
Filed under: uncultured bacterium
Lineage: Bacteria
Description: partial 16S ribosomal RNA
Rfam family: Bacterial small subunit ribosomal RNA
Source: RNAcentral